ACCCGGCGGUUGCCUAUAACGCGGGGGCGGUGGCUCUCCUCGAUCCAGCGCGAGGUCAUACCGUGGCGCGAUGACGAAUCGAUGCCGGAAGUUUGGCUUUGAAUUACAAAAAUAUGCGUGCCAUGGAAUUUUCUGCAUUUCUCGAAUUUCUCCCAAGGAAAAGCUGUGCCCGUGAAACAGCGAAAAAGAGCAUUUACUCGAGGGCUGUGACUCAUAUUCCUGAAGAACAUUCGAUACCCUGACCUGCCACCAUCUUCAUCAUCAUCAUCCGUUUCUUCGUUUCUUCAUCAACGAUGGCACAACAGCAGCAGUUUCAGCGUAGCCACACAGCAACCACCAGAUGCCACAGGAACAGCAAAAUCAAUUACAGCCGUUGUUGAGCAGCAAUAAUAGUCACAAUCUACAGGAACCACCUAGUAUUAAUUCUAGCCUAAUUAAUUUAGAGUCUACCUACUAACUCAACAAAUCCUCAUUGGGAAAAUAUCAGUCAACGUUUGAUGAAAGCUGAUUACCAUGAAGCAAAAGUAAUAAUAACACGUUCAAAGUGUCCGAGUACUGUUGGAAUCAAGGAAUUUAUCAUACAAGAUAUUAUUUUCUCCAAAGGUUCUAUGAUCUGGAUUUAAAUAUGACACUGCAAGAAUUGUCAAAAAACAAGACUAUAAUAGAGGUUACAAUAAUUUACGUAGCUGUUAAAGAUCAUUGAGAUACAUAGGAACAAUGGAGAUAUUUAUAUAUACCAGAUUAUAACGAAUAAGAAAAAAUGUAAUAAUGACGACUGCAAAGAGCUUUUAAUAUUUAUUUAUGAAUUUUUAUUCUAAAUACAUUAUCAUUCAUUUCAUCAAAUUAAAUUCAUUAUAAUACAU
RNAcentral lists this long non-coding RNA (863 nucleotides) under Nasonia vitripennis (jewel wasp). RNAcentral's name for it is "uncharacterized LOC107981924, transcript variant X4". Lineage: Eukaryota; Metazoa; Arthropoda; Insecta; Hymenoptera; Pteromalidae. The record is from RNAcentral.